Molecule: transfer RNA, 72 nt
Filed under: Schistosoma japonicum
Lineage: Eukaryota; Metazoa; Platyhelminthes; Trematoda; Strigeidida; Schistosomatidae
Description: tRNA-Pro
Source: RNAcentral
AGCUCAGAGGCCCAAUGGUAAAGCGACUGUCACGGAGCCAGAGGGUCCUGGGUUCUAUCCCCAACGGGGUUG